CGAUAAUUUAAAGCUUAAAGCUUAGGGGCUCAUAAUCUCUAGAUUUUUAUUGUCGU
Molecule: transfer RNA, 56 nt
Filed under: Tyrophagus putrescentiae
Lineage: Eukaryota; Metazoa; Arthropoda; Arachnida; Sarcoptiformes; Acaridae
Description: tRNA-Met
Source: RNAcentral